Molecule: long non-coding RNA, 217 nt
Filed under: Mytilus galloprovincialis (Mediterranean mussel)
Lineage: Eukaryota; Metazoa; Mollusca; Bivalvia; Mytilida; Mytilidae
Source: RNAcentral
CAGUCACUUGUCUCUGAAAAAGUUACUGAUAUCAAGGAUUUGUAUAAGAAUAAGUCAGAAUAAAGUAAAAAAAUUAGGUUUUGAUGAGCUGACAUCAAGACAAAAAGUGUCACUCAUAUUAAACAUAAUAUACCCACACCAUCUAAAGUAAGUUCGUGUUUAUAGUUUAUUUUUUUCGCAAGUAGGACAGGGUUCUCCAAGCACAUUUAUUUUGGCG